Molecule: long non-coding RNA, 823 nt
Organism: Pygocentrus nattereri (red-bellied piranha)
Lineage: Eukaryota; Metazoa; Chordata; Actinopteri; Characiformes; Serrasalmidae
Exons: 2
Source: RefSeq, a predicted model, not a curated record
CUCUCUCUCUCCGCAGGCGCGCGCGUUACUUAUUCUUAUUCAUUCAAGUGCAAAAACAGCUGUAAACGAAAUUGCGGCUCUCGCGCGUCGCGGAACGAAAACAAAAACAUCGUCUUCCCUUCUUUUUUUUUCCUUCUUUUUCUUUCCCUUCUUUCUCUGACACUAAGCGAACUAAAAGAAAGCUGAACUUCGCCGCUCGACGCUGUGUGUCCACUCUGUCCACUCCGGGAGAGCUGGGAGUCGGUGAGGGGGGGUGGGGGGUGAGGGGGGCUGUUUUUGUUUCUCUCUCUCUUUUUUUUUUUUUUUGGGGCCGGCCUCCUUGAAAAGUAGUGGCGCGCGCGCCUGGCCUCGCCGCCUAUGUCUGUUUAUUUUUUUCAAAGCUCCCUUCCUCGCUCGCGCGCGCUCCCUUCUUUCCCUUUACCGAGCACGAGGGGAAGAAGAAGUGGAGGAAGAAGAAGGGAAAAAGGAGGAUGAUGAUGGUGAUGAUGGUGAUGAUGAUGAUGGUGAUGAUGACGCUGCGCACCGAUUGAGAUUCCGGUGAUGACAUCAUCCCUCAGAGCGCUCUACGUGGCAACCCACAGGUCAGAGGCCCUAAUGCUCAUGGUUACAUUGCCGAACACUCGGCAGCUCGCUGAACGCUUCUUAAAGUGUUUGGUCACUCUGGUCCUUUCAUAUUCCCACGCAUGAAGUACCGACGUUGCAAGUUUUAAAUCUUAAUGGAAAUAUGGAUAAUUGUGGAAAUAUAUGAAUGCAUUACCAUUCAAAAGUUUGGAAUGAAUGUUUUCGAUCAUAUUAAACCAGUACGGUUACAGAUACAUGCAUA